CCGCCCGAUGCACGGCUGGCCUGGCACCACACCACCGUGCCAGGCCCUGAGCGUACCACCUCGCUGCAGCAUCACUGGUCCAGGCGCUGGGCUCCUUACCGUCUGCGCGGCCCCCGCCCCCGGCAUUAGCCGGGUGGCUUCAUUUAACAUCAGCUCCUCCUUUGAGACCUCUGCGGGCCCCCGGUUCCAUCUUAACCCUAUUUCUAUUGUUGUUUUUAUUGUUGUUGUUGUUAUUGUUGUUGUUUUUAUUGUUAAAUUUAGUUAGUUAGGAUUAGGUGUUAGGAGUAGGUUAUUGUUCAUGUUUUUUAAUUAGGAGUAGGUUAUUGUUCACGUUUUAGUGUUAGGUGUAGGUUUUUGUUCCUGUUUUAGAGUUAGGCUUAGGUUAGUGUUCGUACUUAGAGUUAGGUGGGUUCCUACCAGCAGCUGGCAGCAAACAGCGCUCACUCGGUAAGCACACGUCUGCUUUCUCACCCAAUGACAUGAGUGCUGCUUCAUGAGUGCAGAGGUCUGUGACAUCUCCGAGGGAUGGGAUUUGCAUCUUGUGACUUUUCUGUUGCAGAUUGUCGAGGAGCAGAGCGUGAGUGGCUGUGAAAUGCAAUUGGGAAAUGCUUCAUGGAAACAGUCUGGAGCUGUGUCUGGAGCUUCCUGCGUGGCCAUUGUAAGAUCAGCUUUCUGCGCACUUUAUUUCUGUGUCUGGCGUUGUAGAGCACAGCAGCAGCAAGGCCGCGAACACGUCCCACAACCAGGACUCGGAGGGUUUUGAGUCUAAGACCUGGGAGACGGUGAAGAAACCCAAGGCAAGUGCUGCUCAGCUGAGCAAGAAGCCAAGAAGGAAAGCAAAAGAAACGAUAAGGGCUUGAGCAGGAAGGCACAAAGGACAGCAGAAUCGCCUGGAAUGCUUCCUCAGAGGUGCACCAAAGGACACACACUGCGUGGUCCGGUUUUCAGGCCUGGCCGUGCUUUCCCUUUCCUGGACUGCGGAGAGGAACUGAGCAAGUUUUAGUCAUUACCAGUAUCCCGCCUAUUUGAUUUCAUAUUGAAAUGUAUUUUGGAUGCAUUUAGCAUCUCUUUGUUGCAAAUAAAAGCGAAACAAACAUUUGAAUAGUGGUGCUG
RNAcentral lists this long non-coding RNA (1113 nucleotides) under Coturnix japonica (Japanese quail). Its description in RNAcentral is "lncRNA (ENSCJPG00005020673.1)". Lineage: Eukaryota; Metazoa; Chordata; Aves; Galliformes; Phasianidae. The record is from RNAcentral.